Molecule: small nucleolar RNA, 107 nt
Organism: Solanum stenotomum
Lineage: Eukaryota; Viridiplantae; Streptophyta; Magnoliopsida; Solanales; Solanaceae
Source: RefSeq, a predicted model, not a curated record
AAACCAUGUGUUGGACAUUGUAACAAUAGUUCCUUAAACCACAACCAUGUUUCAUGUAGAGGUUCACCUCCAAUGCGUUUAAAAUUUUGGAUUUGAGUUCUAAGUUU